CAGAAACCAGGUUUUGACCCACUUCUUCUCCAUCCCUCUACUGCUUUCUUUAAAGAUUCAAAAUGAGUCUCAGUGAGGCCUCAGAACGGUCAUCACAGAUAGGAAAUUCUCCAAUAAGGUCAACACGACAAGGACAUCUGCAGUGAUCUUUCUACAUGCUCUGCCAACUUGGCACUCAUCUAUAACUUUAGAAGAGGAGGCAGAACAUCAGUGAUGACUGCAAACAUAUGCUUGAUUUUUUUAAGCAACGGGAAAAUGAAAAAUGAACGGGAGGAGGGAACACUGCUGCCUUCUGAGGACAGAAGUCGUGUUUCAAGUAGUCAGGAGUGAUGGGGAGGUGGGACGAGAAUGAAGAUUUAGGGGAAUCUGAACAAAACAAGGUGGUGUAUGGGGAAUGAGGGCAGUCAGUAAAGCCAAAUAGUACCAGGUGGAAAAAUAGCCUAAAAGAAGUACAAGUCUAAUCAUCCAAAAAUUCUAAAGCAAAACUAAAACUCCAUAGUUCAGCAAAAGACACCCUUUCAGGUGUUUAGAAGACUGUGGUUAUCCGUUUAAAGAUGUUCCUCUCUCAAGGAAUCUCUGAGAACUAUAAAUGUGUUUAUUAAUUUUUAUUCUUUACCUAACUAGUAACCGAAAAUUAUAAACGUAAUCCACACUCACUGAAAAAAAUAAACCAAGCACAGAUUGGUUCAAAGUAAAACAUGACCAUCUUCCUGGCCGGGCACAGUGGCCCACACCUAUAAUCCCAGCACUUUGGGAGGUGGAGGCAGGGAAUCAUUUGAGGUCAGGAGUUCGAGACCACCCUGGCCAACAUGGUGAAACCCCGGCUCUACUAAAAAUACAAAAAUUAGCCAGGUGCCGUGGCGUUGGCCUGUAGUCCCAGCUACUCGGGAGGUUGAGGCAAGAGAGUCACUUGAACCCAGGAGGUGGAGGUUGCAGUGAGCUGAGAUCACACCACUGCACUCCAGCCUAGGUGACAAAGUGAGACUCCAUCUCCAAAAAAAAAAAAAAAGACCAUUUUCUAUGACUUCCUAGCCAAAUCUACACCUUGAGAAAAAAAACCCUAUCAAAAGUCUACUACUGGCCAGGUGCAGUGGCUCACGCCUGUAAUCCCAGCACUUUGGGAGGCCAAGGCGGGCAGAUCACCUGAGGUCAAGAGUUCGAGACCAGCCUGGCUAACAUGGUGAAACCCCGUCUAUACUAAAAAUACAAAAAUUAGCUGGGUGUGGUGGCGGGCGCCUGUAAUCCCAGCUACUCAGAAGGCUGAGGCAGGAGAAUCGCUUGAAUCUAGGAGGCAAAAGUUGCAGUGAGCCGAGAUCAUGCCACCGCACUGCAACCUGGGCGACAGGCAAGAGUCUAUCUCAAAAAAAAAAAAAAGAACACAACAGUCUACUACUAAUCUUUCUAUAUCUUUUCUUAUAAGCACACAGAUGCAGCUUAAAUAAUUAUUUUUAAUUUUAAAAAUAUAAAUCAAUGAAACAUCCUCACUUUGCAGUACGUCAUGUCCGAGGGGCUUGACCCCCUGGGUUUCGCCACAGCAUAAGAAACCUCCACUCAUCUGAUGGCGGUGAGCUGGGUUGCAACAAAGUACCGAAAGAGGAAAUAACAAGCCUCUCUAAGGACAGGCCUAAAACCCUCCGAAUGGGCUGUCACUGUGCGAUGAACAUCAGCCUCUUACUCAAUUGACAGGCCUUCCUCCGGCUAUAGGAUCUUGACUGUAAUUACAGGAAAAGCCAUACCAUAAAGAUGGGGGGAGGAGCUAAUUGACAAAACGCUCAAUGUGCUGACUCAAGGACCGAUGACCAAGCCUUAAAUUUAUUUUCCUCAAAAAAUGACUGAUAUGUUGUCCAUUAAGCCAGAACCAUGCAAAAUCCAGGAGAUGCAGUCUUUCCAAGGUACCUGUGUGGGGUUCACACAGAAGACUCCUGGACUUUAAAUGAAAAAGAUCUUUGGAAUGUUGCCUGCCAAAAACAGAAUUUCAAAAAGCACAGAAGUUUUAUUUGUUGCCGUUUUUAUUUCCUUUUGUUUGCUUAAUGCUUGUGUUUGUAUCAAUCUUAUUUAUUAAACCAUCCAAAAUGCAAAAGGAAAGACAUCACUUUGAGAUUUGAACCUCCUCUAAGCCUCUGGUUGCCAACUUUUUUACCUUCCAGUGUGGUUUGGCUCUGUGUCCCCACCCACGUCUCAGGUUGAAUUGUAAUCCCUGUGUUGGAGAAGGGACCUCACAAAGGUGUGUGCUGCAUAGGGGGCUAAUCUGUUCUCUGCAGGAACUAGACGGGAUCAUGAGGUGCUUUCUAAUCACCAUCCCCCUAGUGCUGUCUUGUGAAAGAGUUCUCCUGAGAUCUGUUUGUUUAAAAGCAUCUAGCACCUCCCUACUUUCUCUCUUCCUCCACUGCCAGCCAUGUGAAGACAUUACCUGCUUCCCCUUCACCUUCUGCCAUAACUGUAAGUUUCCUGAGGCCUCCCGAGAGGCAGAAGCCUAUACAGUCUGCAGAACCACGAGCCAACUAAACCUCCCUUCUUUAUAAAUUUCCCAGUCUCAGGAAUGUCUUUAUAGCAGUGUGAGAAUCGACUAAUACACUUUCCAAUUAUUAUAAACUUCUGGAAUCAUUGCUCUACCUAGUAGGGAAGUAUUACCAUUCAUCUAUCCAAAUGGAAAGAAAAUUGACGAUGAUCAGACAUCAUGCAGUGGGUAAGAACACGGACUCUACAGGCUCACACAACAAUUCCACCUCUAUGCUCUUGGCCUAGUUCCAUCUCUUCUGUAUGCCUCAGUUUUCUCAUCUCUACAAUGGGGGUAAGACUGUUGCGAGGGUUCCAUUUACGUAACGUAUUCAGAAGGAGUGCUGUGGAUUAUACGCUUCUAUACAUAUAAGUGCAUAGCAAGUACUAGAUACAUAUUAGCUCAUUAUUUUCAUUUUUGCGGUGUCAUUAAUCAGAACUUGUAAAAAGAAUAAUUCUCCUUAAACACCCCAAAGAUAUUUUAUAAAGAACUCAGUUGAUACUAGAAUGACCAAAUGCAAUUGCUCUUCUGUGCUGUUAAAGAAAAUCAUAAAUAAACACGUUAGUUACUCACACAGGUGGACCUAGCUUGAUGUGACUGAUAUGUUCCCAAAGCUUUGUGUGCAUAAAUCAAGCCACGCCUAAAUGAACUGGGUAAGCCUGUCGAUCUUGCAGUGAAUCCUUUCUUUCCAGGGAAGCUUCUGGACCCAAAUAAUGCUAGCCACCUGUCUUAAAUAAAGAUUCUUAACAUAGGACAUUUGUGUAUGUGUCUUCUGCUUAUGGUUAAAGAGUGAGUGUCAGGUCCAGGAAGACAAUGGAAGCAGGAAACAUGUAUUAUUCCAUUAAGUAACUGACAUGAAGUUUUUCGAGCCUUCUCCCAGGAAGAAGUCCAGGCUCCAACAGCAGUAAAUCACCAAACCUAAAAUUCCCCGAGUUGUGUGCUGUACAGGGGGCUAGUCUGUUCUCUGCAGGAAGAUCCAUGCUGUUUUCAUCAAAACGUCACUUUACCGGGAUGGUAAAGAGUAUCUCCCAUGCUGACUAGAGAUGAUUAGUAAUGACUACUUGGAGUAGUAUGCUAAGCAUGACUGAUUGAUUAGUGAUGUCUGUCGUGAAUAAAGGACUUUGGGAGUGCAUGCAUGCACACUGGGUACUUGCCGUCUCCAGGCUCAAGGGACACAAGUAUUCGGCCUAGCAGGCAUGAGGCCCCCAGAAAUUUGUCAAAAGGCUACAAAUGGUGGAAAACAAACACACCUUGAUGUGAUUAUGCAUAUUCUCUCAGAACCAAUUACUCCCUGAAUCAUAACUUUGAAAGUCAUUGAGAAUUAUCCAGAGCACAUAAGCACCAAAACAGAAUUUCUCAAAGCCAAUAUACGAAGAAAGUUUCAUCAUAAAUUCAGUCUUCUUUGAAAAGGAGGAGAAACAGUGAUUCCAUGAAUAUCUCCUAGUGGCAGGUCCUGGGCUUAGUCCCCAGGGUCAGGGACUGUCUCCUGCUCGCUGUUAUGGUCCUAGAUGUAGAUGAAUGAGUGUUCUGUACGUUACAUGCAAACAGUCCAAUGUGGAUUGGAUGCUGAAUAUGUUUGACUCCAGCACACUGGGAGGUCAGUUUUAUCCACAGAUGAGAAGGGAGGCUUAAUUGCUAGAGUCACAAAUGUGGUCCCUCCAGUGGACGAUGUCAUGGGUCAACUUACCCACUUUGCUAGCAGAUAGAAAAGAAGAAAAAAAUUAUACAGUUUGCACAUACACACCCGCCUUCGGAAUGAGUGUCUCGUCCAACCUCUACUGCCUUGUGGCUCAGGUUUCCCGCUUCAUCCUCCAUAAACUGUGCACACACUGUCACCUAAUGGAACUAUCUGCUUCCCUGUGUGUGGAAACGCCACUCAUCUUCCAGGUUGCUCAUUUACUUGUCAUGUGAAACCAGUUGGCUGGGAAUCUGAGAAUGCUAAGUUUCGAAAACCCAGAGACUAACCCCAAAGCACACCCCCACACCCCCACUCCCUUUGUCCAUUGAGAAUGGCAAGUGUCACCUUCCAUGCUUAAAAUGCACCUGGACCAGGGAGAAAGUCAGGUGAAGAUGUCCAUCAACAAGCAGCACCCUGGGCUGCAGAAUCUUGAUAAGGGUAAUGAAAAGAGGAGUAGAAGGCAAGGGAACGGCAAUGUGUAAAGGGGAGUCUUGGGCCACUGGAGGCAUCUGUGCCCCCCUCCUCUGCAAAUGAUAGUUAUUUAAAAUGACUUUAUAUGCUAUUUUCUCCUGGGGUUUCAAAUUCAGCUCCCAUCUCCCAGCUUACAAAUAAACUCCAGUUUUCAGUCAGUGAUUCCCAUUUUGAUGGGAUUCUGUAAUCACUCCCACAGGUACACAAUGCACCCUCUUAUAUACUGCAUUGAAAACAAGACACGGUAGCCAGGUGUGGUAGCGCACAACUGUAGUCCCAGCUACUCAGGAGGCUGAGGUAGGAGGAUCACUUGAACCUGGGAGGCGGAGGCUGCAGUGCACAGAGACUCUGCCACUGCACUCCAGCCUGGGUGACAGCAAAACCCUGUCUCAAAAAAAAGAACAAAGAAAACAACACAUCGAGUACCACUGGAGCUUAAAUACCCAUCAGUGUGGGGAAAGGGAGAGAAUUAAAUUCAAGAACUGUUCACUGAGCACCUAUUAGGUUGUCAGGCCAAGGUUAAACAGGGAAUAAAACUUGGUCCUUUCCCCAAGGGGCGUCUCAUCCAGGGGAAAAGAUGACCUUGUAACCAGACAGUCACGAUACAAAAGCACUCAUGGUGUAGCAGCUGACUGAGAGGGAAGGUGAUUAAUGGCCCAGGUGAGUAAAGGUCUGGGAAGGCUUUGUGGAAGAUAUGAGGCCAAGAGCUGGAUUUUGAAGGAUGGAGAGCCUUUUGCCAAUAGACAAGAAAGCACGAGCAUGGCAGGCAGCCUCGGGGAGAGGGCACAGCUGGCACAGAUGACUCAGCCUGGUGAGCUCAGUUCACUUUGGCUGAAGCAUGAAGUUGGCCAAGAGGGAGAGGUGGAAGGAAAGAAGGCUGGAGCGGUCACUCGGGGGCAGCUCAGGGGCUGGUGAGCCAAGCCGAGUUGCCCGUGAUGCCUCUUCCAUAUGAGCUCACUGCCAGUUUCAUUUUAUGAGCUCCUGCUAAUGAGUCCUGUUUUGCAGUAGAGCAAAUGGUGAUGGGUGAGCUUCUCGGAGCCAUUUCCUAGUCUAAGUAACGGACUGCUCUGCCUGGGGAAGAGAAGCCACGUUUGCUGGGUAAGGGGUGCUUGGUAAGGUGUAGCUGAAGACCACUGUGUAGAAAACAGGAGUCAAUGCAGUUUGCUGCAGGACGGAGAACUGAGGGCCAAAUGGUUCAACAUUCACGUGGGUGCUUUCCAAGUCAAAGAGGACAUCUGAGCAAUCAGAGGAUCGUUUGUUUCAUUUGGUCUCUGGGCCACAUCAAAAUGCCCUGUCUUCUUUCUCCUCCGUCCCACAACAAGCCAGAAGUCUGAAACUAGCCCAGCAUUGAAAACAACGCAUGUUCGUGACCUCCUUGUGAAAACCGUAAAUAGAUUUGCGGGAACUACAACAAUGAUCACAAGAGAAUUUCACCAAUUACGAGCACCAAAGGAGUCCAAAUCAAUGAAGACAAAGGUAACUGCAUAAACACAUGUGCACAUACAUGAAUAACACAUGAGGUCCCUUUAAAAUAGACUGAUUGUACCUGAAAGUUACUAAACGCUGAGUUAUUUGUGUGUUAAACAAUACUGUGCACUUCCAAAAGGCUUCCGUUGGUGCUUGGUUGAUGAUCAUGGGACCAUAUAUUAUCACCCAGCUAUUCACCUUGUACGUCCUUGAUAAGGAAAGGUCAACCCCAAGUAAAAGCCAACGCCACCACAACCAAAAAAAAAAAAAAAAUUUUUUCCCCAAUCUGAACAAAUCGUUUAGUGUUAAAAAUAAACAGAACUAGAAAUUGUCUCUAAUAAACUAAUAUUAGUCUCCCCAGAGGGUUAAUUAUGUCGCUCCGUAUUUUAAGAAGAAUGUAAAUUGCCAGUUUCAACAGAUGUUCUUUUAAAAGAAUUGGUUAUCUGGGAAAUGAUGGGUCUUUGUUAGAGCUUACCCCAGUGGAAUAUAAACAUUAAAAUCAUCCGGCUAUCUGUCAGACCCCUCCUCCUCCCACAACUGUUACCCAUACCAGUGAUACACCCUUUGCUUAUCAGCAGCUUUAGUGACAAGUGUUCCAGCCGGAACUGUGGUCCCAGAUUUCAGAUGACAUGUUAGGAGGGUUUCCAAACUCCCCUUGAGCCAUCCCAGUGAACCCAGAACGGCAUCUUGCCAUCAUGCCAGGGCCCAGCUCAGGCGCCCCACAGCCAUUUCCAUCCUCUUCUUUUACCCUGGAGAGCAAGACUAUCAGGUCACAAAGAAAUAGAGUUAGAAGGUUCUGGAAAUAGAAGCCCUGUCCAAAUUCAGUUUAAAUGCUCAAACAUGUAACAUUUGUGUUACGUACAUAUUUGAAAGCUGCUAAGGGGAGAAUGAAAACUGAAGUCUCACUGGGAAAGUGGUUAGAAAAAAAAAAGAGCUCACGAAUGUCCCUGCUGUUUUCUCUCAAAAGACAUUUUGUAGACACUGAAAUGUAUGUUAGCAGGUUCACAGUGAGAGCUUCCACACUCGGAUAUUUGGCCAAGUAAAGAGAGGAAAAAAAUCCUCAAUGUGGCAGUUCAUUAUUCCAAGCAGAGCGACCUCAGCUGACCUGGGGGUCUGGAGAGAACAUCUGUUCUUAUGUUACAGCUGGUGGUGGGUGUCUGGCUGCCAACCUCACUUGACCUAACUCUUCAUUAUCAUCCUGGUUAGACUCACUUCACAGAUAGGGAAACUGAGGCUGAGGGAGAUUAAUGACUCCUAUAAAAAACUUAACAGAACCUGCUUUCACUAUUGAUCUGCUAGUAACAAGCAUAAAAUCUCAUCUCAGCUAGAAAGGUAAGCAGAUAACUAUUGAUCUCCUGAAGUGUUUCUGAAAGGGCUGGCCCAGAGCAGGAUUUAGACACUCUGCAGAGACUGCGAAGUUCUGUGUUCUACAUGCAGGAGGCAACAAGGCAGCCUAGUGCCAUUAUCAGAAAGCACAUCCCAAAUGGCAGAAAGAACAAAAUAAUAGUGACAACAGAUGUGGCCCACUGAAAGCCUACUCUGAGAAACAGGCAUUGGGCAUGUUAUUUGACUCAAUCGUCCCACUGAUCUGCCAUAAUGAUAUCAUUAGACCUAUUCAACAGGUAAGGAAACUAAGACUCAGAAAGGUGAAGUCAGAUGCCCCAGCGUCACACAGUUCCUAAUGGCCCAUAAAGAAAAUUCCAGGUCUGCUUGACUCAGAGCCUACCUCCCCUCCCCUACAGCCACUGUCUCAGAUGACGCCUAAUGAGCUCAGAGCACUGACAUUGUAUAUCACAAGCAGCUCCACGGUCUCUCGGGUCAGCUACCUGAGGACCCAGGCUCCAGGUAGGGCCAAAAAGCAGUCAGUCUGCUCAUGUGCAGAUGCCACAAUGGUAAAUCCAGUUGAAAAAUCAGAAAGUCUUAUCCUUAAAGAGGGAAUCUCAGGAAGAGCCAAUCUCAGCACUCUUGGGUCCUAAAAAAGGGCUCAGGUGUACCACUGUGCAGGUUUUACACAAUUCAAUUACAGGAGGUGCCCUUUACCUAGACUAGAAAAUGAACUCAGCCACCUAGACAUAAGCUACACUGAGCCUAUUUCACUGCUGAGACAGGACUUGGAAGACUCACAGAAUAAUCCUGAAAUUCACAUCUGGACUAACUGCUAAGACUAUGCCAACUUCCAGCGUACCAGGAUAAAGAGCUUCCUCUAAACAAAGACCCAUCUUCCAUGUUCCCUCCAUCCCCAGCCAAAGGUAGCAGGAACCUUUCAAGUCCUCCAAAAUCUACAUUACCAAGUUUCCUGUGAGAUCCCUCCCUGCUCCACAGCUCAGAAAAUAGGCUGGAACCACAACAAGUAACAGCCUGAGAGAGAAGAGGUCCCAGUUCCACUUAUUUUAGAAGCCCCAUUUCUGAGGACUCCUGUACCUCUUUCGAAGCUUGGGGAAGGUGGGAUAAUGAUCCUAGGGUAGAAAUACUGCUUUUCUUUCUGCAGUCCAGCUUGCCUAGGCGGACAUUAAUUUGGUGACAUAAGGUUGCCUUAUGCCCUAUCCUAGUGUUGGGGGAUUGGUGGUUCCUGGAAGCCAGAGAAAAGGAGGGCUAAAAACAAUGAUGCAGUAAGCAGCUAAGAAUGUAGCUCUGGAACACUAGUUUCCAACCAGGGGCCAUUUUACUCCCCAGAAGGCCAGACAUUUGCCAACAUCUGGAGACAUGUUUUUAUUAUCCCUACUGGGAGAGAUGGUAUCUAAUGGCUAGAGGUCAGGGAUGUUACUAAACAUCUCCAAGAUACAGGACAGAUGCCCAGUACAAAUGACCCACCUUCCAAUAUUAACAGCACGAAGCCUCAACACCCUGAACCAGAGGAAGCAUCUGCAGUAAGUCCCAAAUACAUAACAGGGGAGCCAUGCCUCUCGCAAACCCUCAGUGUAAAAUGGUCCCGCUGUUGUAACACCAUGCAAAGACGGAACAUUAGUAAGAGACUCCCUUCAAACUUGUGGACUCAUCCUUAAUAGAUCUCAUUAGUUUGUAUUAGUAGAUGGGAUACGGAAUUGGGGAAAUAAUGCCCAGGGGCUCAACUCUGCUGAUGCAUCUACUUUUUCUGGGAGGAAAAUAACCAAAUCUCUGCUUUAGUCAUUCAGGGAAACCUAGCACCUGUCUACAGCAACAUGUUCAAGAUGGGGAGAAAAAAAAAGAAAAGGGAAAAAAAACUGAGAAAAAAGAUAAAUUAUUUAUCCAGCAUAAAUAUUAAAGAAAAUUGCAAAACAUAGUCUGAUGUCACCAUGCUGUUGUUAUAGAAUCAUCUCGUUAUAGCUUCUGGCAAAAUACUGUUGUCCUUAAUAUCACUACAACAGAAUCAUCUGGCAUGUACCAAGCAGGGUACAUGUGUCUGCUCGCUGUCGAGGACACUUAGCAGGAUGCGAAGCAGCUCAUCACACCCCAGCGGAAAAUUGUGCAGGGAUGCCCUGUUAGGAAUGAGCCUGCAUUAGGAAUAGAUCAUCAACUUCACCCGAACCCAAGGUGCAAUUUAAACCUGACAGACAAUGGUCGGGGGCGGUGGCUCAUGCCUGUAAUCCCAGCACUUUGGGAGGCCGAGGCGAGUGGAUCACGAAGUCAGGAGUUCAAGACCAGCCUGGCCAAGACAGUAAACCCUUAUCUCAACUGAAAAUACAAAAAUCAGCUGGGCAUGGUGGCAUGCACCUGUAAUCCCAGCUACGCGGGAGGCUAAGGCAGAGAAUUCCUUAAACCCAGGAGGCAGAGGCUGCAGUGAGCGGAGAUCACACCACUACACUCCAGCCUGGGCGACAGAGUGAGACUGUUUCAAAACAAAACAAAACAAAACAAAACAAAACAAAACUGGAAGUCAAUUAAACACACCCAGUAGUGUACAACAACCAGGUCCGACUGGCUUAAGAGAGCACACUGCUAAACUAUCAGGAACUUUAAGACCUAGUUGUUGGGCACACUCAUUAUUAAGUAUUAAAGUAGAUAAAUGUAUGAUUCAAUAAGCUAUAUUAAAAAGGUAAAACAUACUCAAAGCUCAAUACUUCUGAAUAAUCUUAGUAGAUGUGACUAUUAUCUAUGCUCAUGAGGUUAUUUAUGUCUAUUAGUCGGCAUAGUGCAAAUACUUUACAUACAUAAAAUGGUAUGGGACUACACAUCUCUUUCUAACUCCAAGUUCCAAGCUGCAACUUGAAAUCAGCCAAGGUGUGAGUAUUUACACCACAGUAAUCAGCAAAUACUACAAAACAGGGUUUGUUUCCCCUAGUUCCCGCCAACAGAGCAGGUUGUUCAACACUUACCGGCAUACCACCACACACCCCCUCACAUAGACACCAGGAAUAUGGUAACAGCAUUCACAAGGAAAUUUUGUUUUCAGAUAAAACAUCUACGAUUCAAAGUUAGCAAACUCUUUUCAGCAACUACAUGGACUCCUAGGUAACAGAGUCAUUUAAUAAAUCUGUACAAUAAUAAUUAAACACCAUAAAUAACGUAUCCAUGGAAGCUUCCUGGCUUGCCCUUUAGGCCUUUGUCGCCAAGUGAUCCAUGCUGACAUUCUGAAUAAGGCUCGCAAAAUAAGUGCAUCCAGGAGUGGCGGUGGAAAGUAGGUUUGCUCUCAAUAAUGUAUGAAGCCCCAUGCUGGGGAGAGGGAUCCUUGGAAAAGCGGCUCCGCGGCAAUCUGUUCUUUCAUCUGGAGCCAGCGUUCAAGCAAAGGUGCUGCCCCAAAUCAGAAGCACAAUUGCUCACUUGUGAGCAGAUGUCCUUCACGCGGCGGGCAGUGCUCUUUCAACACAGAGCUGAACAAAUGCGUGCUGUGAGACAGGCUCCCCUCCCCAUUACCCAAAGAACACAGUAUACAUUAAUUUAGUAUGUUGUGGAAUAACGUUUGAAAGGGGAGUUGGUGCAGUAGAAAAAUCACGCAGUGAGGCAAAAUAACUUUCCAACCAAACGGGAGGAAGAAAGAGAGUUUGGUUCCUAUGGAAGUUGAGGGGGAAAGAGUCUGAAAUAUCUUCAACCUCAAAAGAAACCCAAAACAGGGUUCCUUAGGGAGUCAAAAGGACCUCACUGGGCAGGCCCAACACAGAGCCAAAAUCGAACAUCAACCACCCAAAAGAUCAUUUUCAAUGAACAUGUAGUUUCAUUGAAAAUGUGCAUAGCUGGAGGAGGCUGUGCAUGUGUGAGGACAGGGAGUAUAUGAAACUCUACACUUCCCACUCAGUUUUGCUGUGAACUUAAAAUUACUGUAAAAAUAAACUUUAUUAAUUUUUUUUUUUAAAGUACAUGUAAACCUAAACCCUGUAGUCAGAUGAACUGUUUCCUUUCCGGCUGGGAAUCCCAGUUGGAAGGACUUCCAACAUUCAUCCUAGGGAGUUUCAUGGGGCAUCUUUGGUUCUAAGGGAACCUCAUCUAUAAGGUGUUAGUCAGCUCAUCAGAAGGCAGGGCAGAGCAGAGCGUGCCUUGCCAGGUACACAGGCUGUGUAGUACACAAACAGCCCGGAAAACCAGUGGAAAGACCUCCUCCCAGCCUUGAUGUAACUGGGACAGAAAUGGAGACAAAUGCAAUGGCACUUCACAUUCGCUUCCCCCCACCCCACCCAUCUUCCAGAACCUCGACUUCAGGACAGCUUCCGCAAACUCAAUCACUUCUUUCAGGCUGACACAAUUUGGUCCACUUCCUGUAUUUCAUUUUGGGAGAGAGAAUUAUUUUAUCUAGGAAAAGUAAAAUUAGCAACCUGCUUAGAGACUCCUGCCUUUAAAGCCCCACAUCCACUCAACUUCUACACACAAAUACUACCGUUUGCCACCUUGAUAAUUAUUAAAUUGUAACGUAAAACCCAACUUCUGCUUAAGUAUACGUGAUUAUUAGACUAUAAGUCAAUUGUGGAUAACACGCAGAUAUAAAUGCAGCUAAUAAGUCUUACUGUAAUGAUUAAUCAAUUUAUGAAUACAUUAUUUAAACUAAUAGCUCAGGUAGGGUAUCUUAAACAAGUUACAGAGUAUAUCGACCAAUUCAAAUACCAGCUGCUGGAUCAAUAGCAAACUGUAAGUAAACUCUGGGGAAUAGGUAUACUUGGAAAAAAAAAUCUGUGAACAAAAGGGUCUUAGAUGAAAAUAAUCUACAAUUUCAAUUUUUAAGACAAAUGUAUAGUACUUUAAUAUAUGCCAAGGCCUAAAGAGAAAGGUACAAAAGUAUUACUGCAAAUUUUGCUUCUAUUCCAGCCUAUGCAGUAAUAAUCAUUAAGAGCAGCUCCUACAAAUUCAUAUGUUUAUACAAAGCACUACAUACAUAUGCAAAAAGACAAUGUAUUCAAGUUAAUUUUGAUUCCUUCAAAAUUGAUAAAGUGGGUUCAUUUCAUUGCAAGGGAGCAUACUUAUCUAUAACUGACCCUUUAACAGAAAACAAAAAUUAUGUCUAAAAAGUAAGGUAAGCCAUUUUCCUGAAAGGGGCCCAUCUUUCAACAGACACACUAGGGGCCACGUGUUCUGUCACAGCCACAAAACCUGCCCCCUAAGCCCCACUGUUGACCACAAGAUGUUUUUGUGAGCAAAGUCAAUGCUUGCAUCAUGAUGCUGGCUCUUCUCAUUUUUUUUAAAUUAAGGCUAAUUAAUGUGAGUUAAAUAAAUAAACAAGAAGAGCCUUGAUUUCCAAAGGUGUGAUAUUUUAUCACAGCUUCAAGCGAUGCUGCAUUUGAAAAAAAGAAUUAGUAUCUUGUGAGAUUGGCCACACAUUAUUGAGUAAGUAACAGCAGCUAAGUGAAACAGAUGAAAUAUUGGUAAGCGAUGCAGCCCACAGUAUAAGUAUGUGAAGGGGGUCAAAGGUUAAUCCCUAUUGAUUUUCCGAGUCUGCGUACAGCACCACUGGGAAAGGCCGGUUCUGUUGGCAAUCAGCUAGCACAAAUACAUUAUAAAUCUUACUGUCUGCCUUCACCGAUCAGUGUCACUUACUUCCUUUGCUAAAGACCAUUAAGAAACUACCAAAAAAAAAAAAAAAAAUUCUACGCAGAUGCCGGCAAAAAGAAAAGUAUUAAAAAAAAAAAAAAUCUUCCAUGUCAGCCAAUGCUUCUGCAGACGGGAGACUUUUCAUGAAAGCGGAGGCACACCUCACUGAGACCCGUCUCUUCCAAGUAAAGUGACAUGCAACUUUCUUGAGAGUAAAUCCAUUUCAAAGAAUAAAGACAGAGUAUUUUUCAAAUGACCUUCAACAUCAAAUCAAAAAGGUAAAAGUAUCUUUUACAUUUGGGUGCAUUUUUAAAAAAUAGAAGAAAAGCAGUCUAACACACUCAUGCAUAUCGAGAGCCAUCUCCAACUUGACUUUGCAAAAUAUGGCAUAACCUUGAAGCCAACAAAAGGUAGGUUGAAGAGGCCCUUCAUGUCUAGGGACCCCUUCCAGUAUUCCACACUAAAUGUUUGACUCCUUUUCUUAAAGUGGGCCCACAACAUGCAUAGAUCUCAGUGCCCCAAAAUCUUGACGCCCACUUCUACGAACAGAUAUGAAUGACUGUUUCUUUUUCAUGCCUUUUAACAGAUUGUACCAUGUGUAUUUUAUGUGCCUGGCCCUCUUGCUAGACACAGGAAGGCAGAUGAGUGAGAUAGAUCCUUCCCAAGAAAAAUGAAACAUACGUUCUGCGUCUUAUCGUUGACUCUCGUACAACAAGGUCCUGAGAAACAGUCUUAGCGCCAAUAAGUGCUCUGCCACUUACCAGCUUUUUAACACCCAGUUGAUUACUUCAACUCUCUAAGCCUCAGUUUCUCUGCCUGGGAAAUCAGGAUAAUUAUAGUAGCCACUUCAUAGAAUGGUCAGGAAAUUAGAAAUCACAUGCAAAGCACUUAGCACAGGGCCCAGUAAGUAUUCAAUAAAUACUGGUUAAUUUUUCUUAAAUAAUGGAGUUAUUUGGCUAGGCAAGGCAGCUCACGCCUGUCAUCCCAGCACUUUCGGAGGCCAAGGCAGUCAGAUCACCUGAAGUGAGGAGUUCGAGGCCAGCAUGGCUAACAUGGUGAAACCUGGUGUCUAACUAAAAAUACAAAAAUUAGCCAGCUAUGGUGGUGCAUGCCUGUAGUCCUGACUACUACGGAGGCCGAGGAAGGAGAAUCGACAGAGGUUGCAGUGAGCCAAGAUCGCGCCACUGCACUCUAGCCUGGCCAAAAGAGCAAGACUCUGUCUCAAAAAAUAAUAAAAAAAAUUAUGGAGUUAUUUGACAUUGGGAUAAAAAGCAAGUGACCUCCUUCAACCUCUGCUUCACUAAUGAGGGCUGUGGAACUGUGAUGUAAAAAGACAUGAAGCCAUCUGACCCACCAUUCCACCUAAAUAAAUGUAUAAUAUCCACCUAUUCCCCAGAAUAGGUGGGACCAUAACAAGCACAUUCUAAGUUAUUCUUUAGAAACAGAUUUCUUAAGUCCUUGAAAUGUGUAUGAAAGCAAAACCUAUCAGAAAUGCAGACAGCUAGGCAGCUCAGCCUUAACCAAGGAUGUGAGAAAGUUACGAAAUCUUUGGGUAAGGAAAGGUUCUCUCUCUGCAGAAAAGUUAUUUAUUUUAUUUUAAAGCUCCAGCCCCAAGAAGAUUAAUAGAAAAGGUUCAUAGAUAUGUGUUAUGUCUUCACAGUUUUCACAAACACAGCUCUUAUCACAUCCACAGUACACAUGCAGGCGCGCGCACACACACACACACACACACACACACACACACACACACACUUCCCUUGCCCUGAGCAAAAGUCAUAGCAUUCUUGAAACAGUUCUGGCAAAUACAGCCAAAUUGUUGGGAAAACAUUCUUUUUUUUUUUCACAAUUCCAUCAACUAGGCUCAGUGUACCACGUGCUGAUAUCAGGAUGUACUUGAAAAUAUUUUAAAUCCCUUUAAAUUAAGGGGUGGUGGGAGGUGAGGGAUGACUCUCCCAGGGCUAAUGAUAAACAAACGAACAUCCUGCAAAGUUCCCAUCAAAACUUCAGCAUCUAUGCCAUGACUCUUUCAAUCAAUGACUUUUUUCCCCAUUUAUGAAACCUUUUAUUUCAGGAUUUUCACCUCUAUUGAAAGGAUAUCCUUCUAGUAGGCAGAGGAUAAACAGAGUAGACCUCAGCUGAGCACUGAAAACCAAGAGAGACAGAGGCCACAGAGUCUUUUUAAAAUCCAAGAGGCUCCAAGCUGCUUUGAACUGUCUUGAGUUGAUGGAAGUACGCUUUCAUCAGUUAGAAAAAUUAAGGGCAUACGCCUCAAAAGAUGUCUACUUAUUUACAAAUUAUAAACUUGGAUCAUUCUAUUAGCUACUACCUCCAGGAAUGGUAUAGGUUAAAGCAAUGUUCAUCUUUAAAAAUAAUGCAUGCAAUUUCAAAUUUCUCUUUGCUAAUUUAGAUUUUUGUUUUUCCAUUGACCACUUCUGAUCAAACUGUGAUUGUGUUUACUUUGCACAAGAUGAAGGGCUUUUAUUAGGAGUAGGUGAAGUACCAAUCCUGCUCUUUUCUUACUAUUUGCUAUUCUAAGAACUAUAUCCAAACACUGAUCUUUUUGCACAAAUGUUUGUAAGUCUCUUGUUCAUUCUGUGACGGUUGCUUUAGUUCAGACCACAUAAUCUGAUGUCUCAAUCCAUCCAACUAAGCACACAUGCAAAACUACAAUACAUUUCAAAGCUAAAGUCCACAAGGAGCAAAGGUUCCAACAUGGACCCUCUCCCUGGGGAAAUGGCCAGCCUGACUUUGGAAUGUACUGCAUACUGCACACAAUUCCUGACCAUCAGAGGACUGGAGAGGGUACCUGUGUCAGUGCAUCUGUGUACUAUCUGUAAAAAAUAACAUUUUUAAAUUGAGAGCCAAUAUGCUUACAUUGAAAAGUACGGGACCCUGAAAGUGGCUACUGAGCUGGAAUCCCUACUCUGCCACCUCUUUUCUUAGCACAUCUCUUUCCUCAUCUGUGAAAUAUGGACAACAAUAGUCCUAUUUCAAAGAAUAUUUGAAAGGACAGUACAUGUAAAUAUAUGCAAAACACUUAAAACAGUACCUGCCACCCAAUAAAUGUGUUGAGAUGUUUAAUAAUAAAUGAAAGAGUUUAAUGGAUAAACAGAAGUUAUAAUGUUUCCUCUCGGAACCCAAGUGGUUCAUCCUUCACACUUUGGGGACUAAUGCUUUAAAGCAGAUGUAUCCAAAAGAGCAUUCUACUAUGGUAGAAAUGUUCUAUAUCGGUGCUACCCAAUAUGGUAGCCAAUAACCACAUCUGGCUACUGAAGAUUUGAAAUGUGGCUGCUAUUUCAGAGCAAUUGAACUUUUAAUUUUAAUUAAUUUACAUUUUAAUAGUCACACGUGGCUACCAUAUUGGACAGUGAAGCUCCAGAAGCUUCACUAUUUCUGACACUCCAUAGGACCCAGCACAAUUCUGUAAUCCACCUAGUUGCCUUCGAGAAGGUAUGACUGCUUCAGUGAGAACAAGCUAGCCUGAGUUUCUGGAGUGUAAAGCCAUGGAAUCCUCACCUUUACACUCCCUUUCUCUUGUCUCUUAGAUGCUCCAUUGUCAUUGGUUCCUCCUUCCCAGGAGGGGGCAGUGAACAAUGCAGCCCCGCUGGGUCAACAUUAUUGGAGGCCUCUACUUGGUGCCAGCCUCAGCCUGGCUUUCAUUCAUAGUUUGGGUCUUGAAUCUUAUCUUGGAAAACUCCAUGAAUCCUGCCUUUGACCACUGUCUAGACUCCCAGGCCAGAGGCUGUCACUAUAUUUCGUGUCCUGGCCCUUGUUCCCAAUUUGUAGAGGGCUGUCCAUAUUCUACAGAUGAACCUCCAUGUCAAUCAUUCCUAUAACAGUUUCCUCCUUGGAGGCAACGAGAGCAGUGACAGUCUAUUCUAGGGAAUGGGACAUGUCUUAUCUCCAUUUUCACUAUGAAAAUAUCUUAUUCUAUACCAUCAUGCCACAAAGUGACUUCAUUCAAAAACCAUAAUCUUCACAGUACUACCAUAUUUGCAUCUAAAGUUACUUGGUAAAUCAUAAAGUCCAAAUAAACUAUAGUUAUAAAUAAAAAGCUUUAAAACAUUACAAUGAAAGCAUUCUCUAAACCCAACCUCCUCUCAGGCUGAGUUAGGUCUUUGCUUCUAUCAAAAUUAUUUGCAUAUGUUUUAAUCUUUCUCUCUAGAUAAUAAGAUCCUGGAAGGCUUGACUGAUACAAAUUCAUAUCCAUAUCCUUACUGUCUGAAGUGGUGCCAGACACAUAGUAGGUAUUCAAUACGUAUUGGAUGAAGUUACACAGUGAUGGAGAAUAUGUUAAUCCAAACAGAAAGAAAACAAAACACCUUUCUCUGCUUUCCAAGAUGUAUGUUUAUUUUUUUUUCCUUUUCCAAAUACUCCUACAUUCAGGAAAACAGUAAUGCUAAAUCUGACUUACUUAUAUUUUAGGAAGCCUGGAUAUCUAAAUUGGUGAUUCCUACAGUCAUGGCAAUAUGCCUUGUUGAUCAUAAUACAGAUUAUCAACUUCUACAGAAUGACAAAAUCAAAGGAGAAAAGGGGCCAUGAUGGAAAUAUCAAAACCAAAUUAAAUACUGGAAAUGAGUUAAUGAAAUUAUACUACAGAUUCAGCUUAUUCAGAAAGGGCUUGUCCAAGGAAAGGGGAGAGAAAAAAUAAAUAAAUAAAAAAUAAAUUUAAAAAACCCUCACCACCAGAACCAGCUGUCUAGUUUGAACUGCUAGAUUGCUGAGCACAUACUGUAUGCAUAUUCAUAAGGACCACAGGAAAUUAAGCACCUUUGGAGCCUGCAUUAAAACUCUUUCCUGCCAGCCAGUGCAGUGAACCAGUAACUCAACGGCACCCUUGUGGCCUGGAAUAAUUAAUGCAGCUUCCAAAGGUGGGAAGGCUUUCCUUGGGGUGGGGGGUGCAACAGCAAGGUGGGCAUGGAGCUUCGAGAGAGGAGAGUAGGCUGCCAAGCCAUUUGUUCUUAGUGUGUUACACCUGGCCCUGUUUUGUGGAAGGGAGGGAAAUACGUCAUUAUCAUCGCUUUUUCUUUCCGGAGUCUGAAAAGGAACCCCGGGGUGGUAAAUAUGGCCAUUCAUGCUAACAUUGGCUUAAGGAAGAACCAGAUCAAAUGAGCUCAGUUAUUUACAUUUAAAAACAUCAUUUAAGGGAAUUUUAAACCGUCUGAGAAGAUGGAUACACUGUGUUUGUUUUCUACAUUAAUGAGCUAUAAAAAGAAUGGAAUAGGCCAUAAAUACAGUAUUUUGUAACAGCCUUUACUAAAAAUGCUACUACUUGUAUUUAUCAUUUAUAUCCUUGUAUACAACCUCAAAAUUGAUUACACUUUAAACCGUACAUACCUUGCUGUGUUUUUCAUUCUGUGCUAUACUACAAACAUUUUUAUAACUCAGUUAAUAUAUUCCAUAUUUUGUGUUCUUAUUGAUUACGAAUAUUUCUUUAGGGGAUUUUAUUGCUUUUAAAAUAACAAAUGUUAGGUAUUAAAAAAUAGAAAAACCUAUUGCAGCUUUUAUAUUUUUCUUUCCCCUGGUAAUUCUAAUACACACAUUUUAGCACGAACAUAACCAGAAUAUCUUUUUCCAUAUCUUUUAUACUUCCUCCCACUAAUAUUAUAAAUCCACUAAUACAGUACAUAGUAAAAGAAUCAGAUUUUUUGGAUGAAACCCACCAUUUAAUGUGUUUGACUUGAAUUCAUAAUUCUCUCCUUCUACAAUUAAAAAAUUAAAGUGCUAAAAGAUUAUCCGCACGUAACAUGGUUUUACAUCAAGUAUAUAUUAUCUUUCCUAAUUGCCAUUUCAGUUUAUAGGCUAAAAUAUGAUUUAUAUAUAUGAUAUGAUUUCACUAUUAAUUAUCAAAUUGAAAAAAAAUAAAAUCUCACAUUAGAAAUUCUCCCCUGGAAAUUAGUUUUAUUAUUUUUUCCAUAAUCCUAUCACACAAGCUAUAAGUGCAUUGCGGCAUGAACACUUUAAUUUUUCCAGUUAGUUUUAAGCAAGCCCAGAGGUGAGGUUUAAUAAGGAUCAAUGGCACUUUAUCUGGGACAGGGCCUCUUCACAGCAUGCAAAUUACACAGUAACACUUAAAAAAAGAAAUAGAUUUAAUUAAAAAAAAAGUAGAACCACAGGCUCUGGAAAUUCAAUUAAAGGAUUUAUGCAAAGGUUUGCUAGGUUUUUAUAUGCGGUUACUGCUUACAUAAUGAGCUUUUCAUAUUAAAAAUCAAUAGGUAAUCUAGACUAGAAGAUCAUCCCCUUAAAUACAUUUUUGAAAUCAAUUUGAAAAAUAGUCCAUCAACUGCUGUGACUACUCUUGCUGCUUCGAUUACACUAAAAGCAAUAUUUAGAUUGUAAGACGUGCUAUGGAAUAUCUAUGCUUAGAUAUUGCUUUCAAGGGCUCUUAUGCUUUUGAGUGCCUAAGAUGAUCACCUGGUAAUUCAAGAUUGUGUUAAAUGUAUAAAUAAUUUAUUUAAUUACCAACAAAAGCGCAGACACAAUCCCAUCGUAUUUAUAAUGUUAAAUAAAAGGGUGAAAAAGAGGAAAGAGGGAACUGAAGGAGGAAGGACGGAAAGGAGAAGGGGGAGAGGGGAGAGAAGAGGGAGGAAGAAGAUGGGAAAUCAGGAAGGGAGGGAAGGAAAAAGAAAAACGAACAAAACAACCUUUUCUAAAUUAGUCUUUCCUAUCUCAAUUGCCUAUUGUGUUGGCUACUUAGCCCUUAGAGAUAUGCAUUUCACUUUAAAACUCAUUUAGGUCUUCAACUGAAGAAGCAAUUAGCUAGCUUAUAAUUUAAGCAGACUUUUCAUCCUCUGUGAUCAUGGGGGACGGGUCUUGAAAUGAAAACGAAAGUCGAUGCUCCAGUUCUUUUUUUUUUUAAUAUGUAUUUUUUAUUAUAUUUUCAGUUCUAGGGUACAUGUGCACAACGUGCAGGUUUGUUACAUAUGUAGACAUGUGCUGUGUUGGUGUGCUGCACCCAUUAACUCGUCAUUUACAUUAGGUAUAUCUCCUAAUGCUAUCCCUCUCCCCUCCCCGCACCCCACAACAGGCCCCGGUGUGUGAUGUUCCCCUUCCUGUGUCCAACUGUUCUCAUUGUUCAAUUCCCACCUAUGAGUGAGAACAUGCGGUGUUUGGUUUUUUGUCCUUGCAACAGUUUGCUGAGAAUGAUGGUUUCCAGCUUCAUCCACCCAAGUGGGCGAAGGAUAUGAUCAGACACUUCUCAAAAGAAGACAUUUAUGCAGCCAACAGACACAUGAAACAAUGCUCAUCAUCACUGGCCAUCAGAGAAAUGCAAAUCAAAACCACAAUGAGAUACCAUCUCACACCAGUUAGAUGCUCCAGUUCUAUCCAGUAGCUUCACCACCUGUAUCACAGGCAAGAUUUGCCUGGAUUUGGUAACAAUUAGAACACCAGAUGGGAUUCCAGGGGCAAUUCCUGUCAAACUGGGGAGUGAUCAUUUUACAGAGGAAGCAUGAGUAAGGAGUUGGGGUGGCGGAGCUGGAGGAAAGAAAAACCUAGGUAGGUCCAAAUCCAAACUCUUCUCAUUACCAUAAUAAAUUAAUAAGAGACACAUUCUUUAAUACCUCUUUGUCCAGGUUCUAAUUUUUAAAAGGUAGAGUUUUAAAAUGUAAUCGCAGCAUUUUGGGAGGUUGAGGUGGGCAGAUCAUUUGAAUUCAGGAGUUCAAGACCAGCCUGGCUAACAUGGUGAAACGCGUCUCUACUAAAAAUGCAUAAAAUUAGCCGGUGUGGUGGCACAUGCCUGUAAUCCCAGCUACUGGGGAGGCUGAGACAUCAGAAUCACUUGAACCCAGAAGGUGUAGGUUGCAGUGAGCCGAGAUCAUGUCACUGCACUCCAGCCUGGGUAACAGACGCUGUCUUAAAUGAAAUGAACUAAAAUAAAAAUAUAAACUAAAAAAGUAGAGUGAGUACUCAUUGUCCAUCAAGAUGAAAGUCAUGGCUCUAGUUAUCUUCAACCCAAGUCAGCCUUAUUAAAAUAGGUCUAAACUUUAUAAAGGACCACCUUAUAACAAACCAACACCUUAUUCUCUUCUGCAAAACUCUGGGAAAAAAACUAAGCAAAAUAUUUACAAAUCCCAGUUUAUCCAUCUACCAAAAGCUCCUAUCUCAGCAACACUAAUAUUUUAAGAAGGUGCUGAUGCAGCCAAUCUGGGUGAACAAGGAGAGCCCAAAACAGCACAAGGAGGUCCCUGCUCUCAAUACACAGGGAGGAGAAGAUAAAGAUGAAGAAGCAGCAGCAGCUUCCAGCAUCAGAGAAAUCAAUGAUGUCCACAUUAUGAUUUCUAAAGCAGAACUCUAGACAUAUCCUAUUAAUGAGCCAGCCUUUGUUUUGCAUGUCCCUACAGCUAUAUUGAGGGAGAGUUUAAGAACCAAGUAAUGAGCAGUGGUUUUAUCAGUCACAGAUUUAUGCACCUGACAAACACAUUUAGAAUGCCUGGCUAUGUUAGCACUGUUAGUGGCUCUUGGUGGCUACAAAGAUGAAUCUCAUAAACCUGGCGUGCCUAAAUAAAUUAAAUAUUUUUGUACAUAUGUUUACUCAUUUUGAAAAAUGUAUUUGUAAGAAAAAACAAGGAACUGAAAAAUUAGGUGCAGUAUCUUGAAAACAUGAUGCAUGCAAAGUGAAAGGACCACUCACAAAGAACCACAUAUCGUGUGAGCCCAUUAAUGAGAAAUGUCCAGAAUAUACAAACGCAUGGAGAUGAAGAGCAGACUAGCGGUUCGCAGAGGCUGGGGAAGAGUUGAAGUGGAGAAUGGGAGGUAAAAAAUAUGGGGUGCAGGCUUUCUCCUUCAGGUAAGAAAACUGACUGUGGCAAUGGUUGCACAACUCUGAAUAGACUGAGCCAUUGAAUUGUACACUUUAAAUGCAUGAAUUGUAUAGCAUGUAAAUUAUCUCUCAAUAAAGCUGUUAUAAAAAAUAAA
Homo sapiens (human) is the source of this 21959-nucleotide long non-coding RNA. RefSeq annotates it as WWOX antisense RNA 2. Lineage: Eukaryota; Metazoa; Chordata; Mammalia; Primates; Hominidae. The transcript is spliced from 2 exons. The record is from RefSeq and is a predicted model, not a curated record.